RNAcentral lists this long non-coding RNA (210 nucleotides) under Theobroma cacao (cacao). RNAcentral's name for it is "long non-coding RNA (TCAC_LNC000705)". Lineage: Eukaryota; Viridiplantae; Streptophyta; Magnoliopsida; Malvales; Malvaceae. The record is from RNAcentral.
UCAGAUUGAGAUUGGCCUGCUUAGAUCUCCCCUUUGGGGCUUCACUCAGGUUCCAGAGAAGUGUAUCCCAAUUGACAAUUGCUGACUUGAAUUCCUUUUCCCUGUUCAUGAAUCAUGAUUUCCAUAAAAAGAAAAAGGAAAAAUCAAUUCAUGACACUGACUUGAUAAAUCUGACUAAACUUUACUUGCAAGUUACAGGUCUCCUUUUAC